UACGGGGGGGGCAAGCGUUGUUCGGAAUUACUGGGCGUAAAGGGCUUGUAGGCGGCCAACUAAGUCCGACGUGAAAUCCCCAGGCUUAACCUGGGAACUGCGUCGGAUACUGGAUGGCUUGAAUUCGGGAGAGGGAUGUGGAAUUCCAGGUGUAGCGGUGAAAUGCGUAGAUAUCUGGAGGAACACCGGUGGCGAAGGCGACAUCCUGGACCGGUAUUGACGCUGAGGCGCGAAAGCCAGGGGAGCAAACGGG
Molecule: ribosomal RNA, 253 nt
Filed under: uncultured bacterium
Lineage: Bacteria
Description: partial 16S ribosomal RNA
Rfam family: Bacterial small subunit ribosomal RNA
Source: RNAcentral